UAGUUGGUGAGGUAAUGGCUCACCAAGGCAAUGACGCCUAACUGGUUUGAGAGGAUGAUCAGUCACACUGGAACUGAGACACGGUCCAGACUCCUACGGGAGGCAGCAGUGGGGAAUAUUGCACAAUGGAGGAAACUCUGAUGCAGCAACGCCGCGUGGAGGAUGACACUUUUCGGAGCGUAAACUCCUUUUAUAUAGGAAGAUAAUGACGGUACUAUAUGAAUAAGCACCGGCUAACUCCGUGCCAGCAGCCGCGGUAAUACGGAGGGUGCAAGCGUUACUCGGAAUCACUGGGCGUAAAGAGCGUGUAGGCGGGUUAAUAAGUUGGAAGUGAAAUCCUAUAGCUCAACUAUAGAACUGCUUUCAAAACUGUUAACCUAGAAUAUGGGAGAGGUAGAUGGAAUUUCUGGUGUAGGGGUAAAAUCCGUAGAGAUCAGAAGGAAUACCGAUUGCGAAGGCGAUCUACUGGAACAUUAUUGACGCUGAGACGCGAAAGCGUGGGGAGCAAACAGGAUUAGAUACCCUGGUAGUCCACGCCCUAAACGAUGUACACUAGUUGUUGCGAUGCUAGACAUUGCAGUAAUGCAGUUAACACAUUAAGUGUACCGCCUGGGGAGUACGGUCGCAAGAUUAAAACUCAAAGGAAUAGACGGGGACCCGCACAAGCGGUGGAGCAUGUGGUUUAAUUCGACGAUACGCGAAGAACCUUACCUGGACUUGACAUUUACAGAAUUUUUCAGAGAUGAAUUAGUGUCUGCUUGCAGAAACUGUAGGACAGGUGCUGCACGGCUGUCGUCAGCUCGUGUCGUGAGAUGUUGGGUUAAGUCCCGCAACGAGCGCAACCCACGUCGUUAGUUGCUAACAGUUCGGCUGAGAACUCUAACGAGACUGCCUGGGCAACCAGGAGGAAGGUGUGGACGACGUCAAGUCAUCAUGGCCCUUACGUCCAGGGCUACACACGUGCUACAAUGGGGCAUACAAAGAGCAGCGAUACCGCGAGGUGGAGCAAAUCUCAAAAAUGCCUCCCAGUUCGGAUAGUAGUCUGCAACUCGACUACUUGAAGUUGGAAUCGCUAGUAAUCGUAGAUCAGCAAUGCUACGGUGAAUACGUUCCCGGGUCUUGUACUCACCGCCCGUCACACCAUGGGAGUUGAACUCAUUCGAAGCGGGGAUGCUAAGAUAGCUACCCUCCACAGUGGAUUCAGCGACUGGGGUG
RNAcentral lists this ribosomal RNA (1215 nucleotides) under uncultured bacterium. Its description in RNAcentral is "bacterial SSU rRNA". It matches the Rfam family "Bacterial small subunit ribosomal RNA", at positions 246 to 1482 of the family's 1533-position model. The record is from RNAcentral.